GCCAGGCGUGGUGGUGUGCACCUGUAAUCCCAGCUACUCGGAAGGCUGAGGCGGGAGGAUCACUUGAGCCCAGGAGUUCUGGGUUGUAAUGUGCUACUCUAGUUGGGUGUCUGCACUAAGGUCAGCAUCAGUAUGGGGACCUCCCGGGAGCAGGGGACCACCAGGUUGCCUAAGGAGGGUUGAACCAACCCAGAUUGGAAACGGAGCAGGUCAAAACUCCAAGGCUGAUUAGUAGUGGGAUCCUGCCUGUGAACGGCUACUGCACUCCAGCCUGGGGAACACAGCAAGGCCCCAUCUCUA
This is a non-coding RNA of Nomascus leucogenys (northern white-cheeked gibbon), 300 nucleotides long. It matches the Rfam family "Metazoan signal recognition particle RNA". Rfam says of the family: The signal recognition particle (SRP) is a universally conserved ribonucleoprotein. The record is from Rfam. Lineage: Eukaryota; Metazoa; Chordata; Mammalia; Primates; Hylobatidae.